UACGGAGGAUGCGAGCGUUAUCCGGAUUUAUUGGGUUUAAAGGGUGCGUAGGCGGGUUAUCAAGUCAGCGGUAAAAUCGUGGAGCUCAACUCCAUCCAGCCGUUGAAACUGAUGAUCUUGAGUGGGCGAGAAGUAUGCGGAAUGCGCGGUGUAGCGGUGAAAUGCAUAGAUAUCGCGCAGAACUCCGAUUGCGAAGGCAGCAUACCGGCGCCCGACUGACGUUGAGGCUCGAAAGCGUGGGGAGCAAACAGG
This 252-nucleotide ribosomal RNA is filed under the name uncultured Bacteroidales bacterium. RNAcentral's name for it is "partial 16S ribosomal RNA". It matches the Rfam family "Bacterial small subunit ribosomal RNA", at positions 524 to 776 of the family's 1533-position model. The record is from RNAcentral. Lineage: Bacteria; Pseudomonadati; Bacteroidota; Bacteroidia; Bacteroidales.